UGGGGAAUUUUGGACAAUGGGGGCAACCCUGAUCCAGCCAUUCCGCGUGAGUGAAGAAGGCCUUCGGGUUGUAAAGCUCUUUCAGCAGGAACGAAACGGUGGUCCCUAAUACGGGUUACUAAUGACGGUACCUGAAGAAGAAGCACCGGCUAACUCCGUGCCAGCAGCCGCGGUAAUACGGAGGGUGCGAGCGUUAAUCGGAAUUACUGGGCGUAAAGCGUGCGUAGGUGGUUCGUUAAGUCAGAUGUGAAAGCCCUGGGCUCAACCUGGGAACUGCAUUUGAAACUGUUAGACUUGAGUACGAGAGAGGUGAGUGGAAUUCCCAGUGUAGAGGUGAAAUUCGUAGAUAUUGGGAAGAACACCAGUGGCGAAGGCGGCUCACUGGCUCGUAACUGACGCUCAGGCGUGACAGCGUGGGGAUCAAACAGG
RNAcentral lists this ribosomal RNA (429 nucleotides) under uncultured bacterium. RNAcentral describes it as "bacterial SSU rRNA". It matches the Rfam family "Bacterial small subunit ribosomal RNA", at positions 355 to 776 of the family's 1533-position model. The record is from RNAcentral.